Long non-coding RNA from Bacillus rossius redtenbacheri, 489 nucleotides. RefSeq lists it as uncharacterized. NCBI's taxonomy places the organism in Eukaryota, Metazoa, Arthropoda, Insecta, Phasmatodea, Bacillidae. The transcript is spliced from 2 exons. The record is from RefSeq and is a predicted model, not a curated record.
UAAUAUUUUUAAAUAAAUUAAGAACACUACUAUGUGUGCAUGUUUUUCAAAAUUGAAUGUGGUACUGCCAACACCCGCAAUCACGAGACUGGUGGUCCAUACUUUAUGUAUGGAAUGGGAGUUUCUGAUUCAUACCAACUUGUAUCUAUGGUGUUAUGUUUACGACAGAAUUAUUUCCAAUGGAUUAGUAGGGUUAUUUUUACCCCGGCUAAAAGUCGAUUAUAAAAUGUGGCAACUAAGUAAAUUUCGAACACCAAUUUUACUGGGAACUAUUUUAAUUUGUUGUUAUGCUGGGUUCAAGAACAGACAAAUUUUCUUACAAGAUAUUGACAAAAAACGUGAAGAAUUGUUGAAAGAAGAUACAGAAACACGAAAAAUCAUUGAAAAAAAAGUGAAAGAAAUGAAGGAAAGAUGAAUUGGUUUUGCCUAUCAGGUGUUCAGAGAGGGUUAUAUUGUUGUAAUUAGAAAAUAAAAUCUUUUAAAUCGAAA